This 17-nucleotide microRNA is filed under the name Corchorus olitorius. Its description in RNAcentral is "hsa-miR-12". The record is from RNAcentral. Lineage: Eukaryota; Viridiplantae; Streptophyta; Magnoliopsida; Malvales; Malvaceae.
UCAUAUUGUUUCUUUCU